GGUGAACGCUGGCGGCGUGCCUAAUACAUGCAAGUCGAGCGAACGGACGAGAAGCUUGCUUUUCUGAUGUUAGCGGCGGACGGGUGAGUAACACGUGGAUAACCUACCUAUAAGACUGGGAUAACUUCGGGAAACCGGAGCUAAUACCGGAUAAUAUUUUGAACCGCAUGGUUCAAAAGUGAAAGACGGUCUUGCUGUCACUUAUAGAUGGAUCCGCGCUGCAUUAGCUAGUUGGUAAGGUAACGGCUUACCAAGGCAACGAUGCAUAGCCGACCUGAGAGGGUGAUCGGCCACACUGGAACUGAGACACGGUCCAGACUCCUACGGGAGGCAGCAGUAGGGAAUCUUCCGCAAUGGGCGAAAGCCUGACGGAGCAACGCCGCGUGAGUGAUGAAGGUCUUCGGAUCGUAAAACUCUGUUAUUAGGGAAGAACAUAUGUGUAAGUAACUGUGAACAUCUUGACGGUACCUAAUCAGAAAGCCACGGCUAACUACGUG
This 497-nucleotide ribosomal RNA is filed under the name uncultured bacterium. Its description in RNAcentral is "partial 16S ribosomal RNA". It matches the Rfam family "Bacterial small subunit ribosomal RNA", at positions 28 to 507 of the family's 1533-position model. The record is from RNAcentral.